UCUCUGACACGCUGACGCCGUCUGGUGGAUGGCUUGGCUUGAGAGACUAUGAAGGGCGUGGCAAGCUGCGAUAAGCUCUGGGUAGGCGCAGGCAGCCUUUGAUCCAGAGAUCCCCGAAU
RNAcentral lists this ribosomal RNA (119 nucleotides) under Candidatus Woesearchaeota archaeon. Its description in RNAcentral is "partial 23S ribosomal RNA". It matches the Rfam family "Archaeal large subunit ribosomal RNA", at positions 1 to 119 of the family's 2987-position model. The record is from RNAcentral. Lineage: Archaea; Nanobdellati; Candidatus Woesearchaeota.